Molecule: ribosomal RNA, 255 nt
Filed under: Escherichia coli
Lineage: Bacteria; Pseudomonadati; Pseudomonadota; Gammaproteobacteria; Enterobacterales; Enterobacteriaceae
Also listed under: 1 other name
Description: partial 23S ribosomal RNA
Rfam family: Bacterial large subunit ribosomal RNA
Source: RNAcentral
CCAAGGCUAAAUACUCCUGACUGACCGAUAGUGAACCAGUACCGUGAGGGAAAGGCGAAAAGAACCCCGGCGAGGGGAGUGAAAAAGAACCUGAAACCGUGUACGUACAAGCAGUGGGAGCACGCUUCGGCGUGUGACUGCGUACCUUUUGUAUAAUGGGUCAGCGACUUAUAUUCUGUAGCAAGGUUAACCGAAUAGGGGAGCCGAAGGGAAACCGAGUCUUAACUGGGCGUUAAGUUGCAGGGUAUAGACCCG